Molecule: long non-coding RNA, 1142 nt
Organism: Marmota monax (woodchuck)
Lineage: Eukaryota; Metazoa; Chordata; Mammalia; Rodentia; Sciuridae
Exons: 5
Source: RefSeq, a predicted model, not a curated record
GUUCAUCGUUAAAUAUCUUUCAUUCUCAUCACCGAGACAUGAGGAGUGUUUCUGUGAAGGAGGCAAAGAAACUUGUUUAGAAGUUGAUAUUUACACAACUCAGUGUUGGAAUUGUCAUCUGAAAUCAGGAAGAGAAGAGAGGAAGCAAUGUCACCGAACUUGGGAAUCAGAGAUUUGGUGGACAAAUCAGGAAGAGCAGAAGAAGUGCAGACCAUCAGCAAUGCAUAGAGCAGCUCUAAUCACAGUCGAGCUGCAAGGACACUCAUGAGAAGCUUUUCCAUCUUAGAAACACAAACAGCUCCAUCGAUCUUGCUAACACCCUAGAGUUUUCGGCAGACACAACAUCUUUGUUUGUAUGUGGUGCUGAGGAUCGAACCCGGGCCGCACGCAUGCCAGGUGAGUGCGCUACCGCUUGAGCCACAUCCCCAGCCCAAUUCUCCCUGUUUUUAAGGCUGUACAGAUGCCUCAGAGCUUUCCCUGAGCUCCCAACUGGAAGCCGGCAUUCUUUCCCCACCUCAGUUACUUAUUUGGCUUGAGGAUGAUGCUUUGCAGUUUCUACCUGGUGACAUACCCUGUGCUCUUAUCCAGGACACAGCUCUGGAUCCUGCCUCCUUCCUGGGACUGGGUACCUAGUGAAUUGAGAGCUUCACAGGUAUACAAACAAAGAAUUAACCAUAUCUGAAGUCCCUUCUAACACCAACUCUGUGGUUUAUUAUAUUAAUAUAAUGCUUAUUCUGAAGCAUGUUUAACAAGAAUCUACUUGGAAGAUUGUAAACAAAGUUAUAAUUGAGACUUGUCUAAUCAAAAACCAAACAGUCUUGGUGGAUUUCUUGUUCCUUUAAAAAGUGACUCCUUCAAAGGUAGGUGCCAUGUUAUGGCGGUGUGGAGGGGGGACUUCCUGGAGACCUUUUCUGGGGAGAGUUAACUUUGAGAUUCUGUUCUGCUUCUUACUGACUGUGUAACUUUAGGCAAAUCAUGAAAUGUUUCUGAGCCCAGGUUUUUCAGCCAAAAGAUAAUGAUAUGCGUUUUACACAGUAAUGUUGGGAGGAAUGAAUGUGAUAAUGGACUUGAAAGUGUUUUGCAAAGUGAAAAGAAUGCCAUCCAUAAUAGAAGUUAUUAUUAUCAUUAUCAUUAUCAAUAUC